This is a long non-coding RNA of Oncorhynchus nerka (sockeye salmon), 1065 nucleotides long. RefSeq lists it as uncharacterized. NCBI's taxonomy places the organism in Eukaryota, Metazoa, Chordata, Actinopteri, Salmoniformes, Salmonidae. The transcript is spliced from 4 exons. The record is from RefSeq and is a predicted model, not a curated record.
GUGCUUCCCCUCAACUUUGGUAUGUGGUCUUUCGAGUCACUUUCACAGAGCUCAGACCAUAUAAUAUGUCUCUUACCAUGAUAAAGCAGACAGAAUCUAAACUGGAGAAGAGAAGAGCAACUCAGCCAAGAAAACUGUUGAACUCAGAAAUUCACUGCAACUGAAGAAGAAAAAGAAGAAAACUGCAGCUGGCCUACCUUCUGAUACAACAGCCACACUGCAACUACAGUCUACAGAGUCAAGAUCAUCAUGAAUACUGCAAUGACUGUUAUCGUUCUUCUGGUGUGCUCAGACGUUAUCUACAUGAUACAAGGGAGAGGUAUACAAUAUCCUCGAUGCCGCUGUCCUAAAGUACACGCAGGGGGGGUGAAUAUCAGUUUAAUCAGGAAACUGACCUAUUACCGUCCUCGCUCACACUGCUCUAAGGAAGAAGUCAUUGUCACACUGAAAACCAGGGGUUCGCUCUGUCUCUACCCAAAUGGGAAUUUUGCCAAAACACUGAUUGAAAGAUAAAUCAAAGUAAAUCAACAGCGUCAGAAUCAACGUUCCAUUGAGACUCUCUCCCCACAUACCACCACUAGCACUUGAUCACUCUUUGUCUGGCACUGGAGGCUGUGCCAACCUGCAACCCCUCUGCUGGCUUGUCUUUGAAGUGGGGUUGGCCCCAGUCAAGUCUUGAAUUGGUGAUCGUAACCAGAACAAGUGGUGUUGGAGUGACAGUAGGGGCCACUGUUUCCUCUGGUCCAAAGAGACUUCAAUCAAUGAGUCAGGACAGUGAUGGGGACACUGACCUAGAAAGUGGCUGUCCUUUUAAUGUGUUUAUUAUAUGUAGGUAUUUAUAUUUUAUAUUUAUACAGCAUAGACCUGAAGGAAUAAUGUAAUAGUAUUGUUGAUAUAAAACCUGUAUUUGAUAUAUUUAUUGUCAUGUAUUCUUUUUUCAAAUAAAGCAAACAUUUAUGGGACAUAGAUUACUUGUUUUCUCAACAAUCUGCUCAAAAAUUAGUUGUAUGUGUACUUAAUCAAAAAAUUGAUAUAUAUAUAUAGAGGAGGGGGUGUGAUGAUUUA